Molecule: ribosomal RNA, 468 nt
Filed under: uncultured bacterium
Lineage: Bacteria
Description: partial 16S ribosomal RNA
Rfam family: Bacterial small subunit ribosomal RNA
Source: RNAcentral
GACGAACGCUGGCGGCGUGCUUAACACAUGCAAGUCGAACGGAAAGGCCCUGCUUUUGUGGGGUGCUCGAGUGGCGAACGGGUGAGUAACACGUGAGUAACCUGCCCUUGACUUUGGGAUAACUUCAGGAAACUGGGGCUAAUACCGGAUAGGAGCUCCUGCUGCAUGGUGGGGGUUGGAAAGUUUCGGCGGUUGGGGAUGGACUCGCGGCUUAUCAGCUUGUUGGUGGGGUAGUGGCUUACCAAGGCUUUGACGGGUAGCCGGCCUGAGAGGGUGACCGGCCACAUUGGGACUGCGGUACGGACCAGACGCGUACGGGAGGCAGCAGUGGGGAGUAUUGCACAAUGGGCGGGAGCCUGAUACAGAAACGCCGCGUGCGGGAUGACGGCCUUCGGGUUAUAAACCGCUUUCGCCUGUGACGAAGCGUGAGUGACGGUAAUGAGUAAAGAAGCACCGGCUAACUACGUG